RNAcentral lists this long non-coding RNA (414 nucleotides) under Brassica napus (rape). RNAcentral's name for it is "long non-coding RNA (BNAP_LNC007587)". The record is from RNAcentral. Lineage: Eukaryota; Viridiplantae; Streptophyta; Magnoliopsida; Brassicales; Brassicaceae.
AAAUAUUUCACGGAAGCUAGUGGUUGAAUACCCUUGCUCCAUGAUACGUAAUCAUACACAGUGUUACGUAGCUUCAUUAUAAAACCCAAUCUCAUCUGUCCAAACAAAGAAUAAUACCAUCUCAUACCCUCUUUCUAUAUCUCCAAUGGAGUCAGCAAUCGACACGAACUCAUCCAUGCACGACCAGACCGAGACAGAGUUUGGGAAGAAUAAGAAACGGUACCAAGACCUGAUCGCUACGUUUCCUCAUGAGAAAGGCUGGAGACCUAAAGCUCCCUUGAUUGAAUACGGUGGUCACUGGUUUAUUCAGCUUCUCCUUGAAGGCUGUCUCCACGCGCAAGAGUUCUUCCAAGCGCGACCCAUUGACUUCCUUGUCUGUAGCUACCCAAAGACAGGAACCACAUGGCUCAAAGC